Long non-coding RNA from Felis catus (domestic cat), 5125 nucleotides. RefSeq lists it as uncharacterized. Lineage: Eukaryota; Metazoa; Chordata; Mammalia; Carnivora; Felidae. The transcript is spliced from 3 exons. The record is from RefSeq and is a predicted model, not a curated record.
GAGAAGCAGAAUCCUUCCUGACUUCCACCUUGCUCUAUGUUCUUCAGUGAAAUAAAAAGCUCAGAGCCCUGGCACGGAGCAGACAUCGCUGGGUAUGUGGGAAGCAGGCCUGAGAAAGGUCAGCAGUGAGCUGACGGCAGGCCAGUCACAAAGAGAAUUCCAAUGGCUGGGCUCACGAUCAAACACACCGCGGGUAACCCAAGAAUGAGCUUCUGAACACCCCUCCGGCACAACUGUUAGCUGACACGAUGUCAUGUGCCCUGCAUUCGCAGGUGCUCAAAACAGACACUUGCUAGCACCUCCUGUCCUUAAUGAGGCACCGUGUAUGGACCCAACAGCUGCAGGUGCUGAGUCAGGCCCGCCUGGCGCUCUCAAAGAGCUCACAGGCUCACCGGGCGGGCACACGCUCGAAAACACUGAAAAGUGUGCAAAGCACAAGUCCACGCGACGUUGUUUUGAGGGUCUGGAAGAGCUCCGUGGAUGAUGACUUCUGAAUCGAGCCUGCACACCCAACAGGAUUUCCAUGAAUGAGGAGGGGGAAAAUAGGCCCAGGGAACAAGACAUGCUAAGCGCCGUAAGGAGGCGUUCAGGCUGUUCUUAGGGAAAGUGACUAAUCUGCUGAGGCCAGUGGCAGAGCACACGGAGGGAUGCGGUGGGAGACGAGGCUGCAAAGGAAUGUUGCGGCCAAGACAUGAAGGACCUUAUGUGCCAGGCUAAAGCACUUGGAUCUUGACACUCAUGGGUACUGCGUCCCGGGACAUGACGCAGGAGAAAGUUAAAUAGCAGAGCUACCCCUUUAAGAACUGACGGCCCUUCCGUUGAGCCUCCAAGCACAGGGAGGGUGGGAGGGUCUGAAGGACAGCUUCCUCCUCCCAAUGGACCCCUUCUCCAUGGCCCCACCCACAGAGAAGUCAGACAAGUGGGUGGCUCUCAGAGGUGCCCCAACCCACACGUCGGUGGACCUUUCCCUCUAGUCUGGAACUCCCAACCAUGAAAGACCCAGAAAAGACACCACGUCUCUUGUUCCAGGCAGGAUUUCCACUCUGCCUUCAGGGAAAUGCCAGCACUACCCAACCUGAUGAACCAGAACACGGGCCGAACACAGGCUCCAGCCUCUUUCCUGUUAACUAAGCAGAAGCCAGAGGCCUAUCCAGCACACCCUGUGUGUGCCCAAAGCUCCCUAUCACGGAGCUCUUCCGUCCAGGCCUGGUACCAUGUGACCGGGGCCUCCAACCAGUAAGGAGCCUGCCCUGACGUCACCAGUUAGGUCCUAUGGAACCUUUCCCUUAAAGGAGCCUUUGCAGCAGUCCCAUUUGUUAAAGGCACAGGCAAGAUGUUUUUCACUUCCUGCCCAAAAAGGAGCUCCUGGUCUAGAAGGAGGGAUAAAACAUAAACCAAGUAGGAGAUGGUGAGUACCAUGGAAGAAGGACAGGUGAUACAAAUCCUCACAAAUAACCCUGUGACUCAAUGUGAUUUCUUAACCCAUUUGACGGAUAUGGAACCUCGGGCUCAAGCAGGUUAACUGACCUGGCGGAUCACACAGCUAGAAGUGCCACAGCCAAGAUUUGAAUGCUCAGAAUCACCAUAGAGCUAUAUACUCUAUUGCCCCACAGCCCAUUGUGAUGCGAGCUGGCAGAAGAGAGAACAGAGAGAUCCUUUCUAGUAUGGGGCAGUGUGAACGGUGGAGAGUAGAUGGUGAUCACAGGUCACCUCAGUCAGAAGGUGGCCAUCCAGGCAGAAGUGUUUAAGAGGAACAGAAGGUCUCUGGAUGAAGACAGAGGAGGGCCCCUCAGGCUAAGAGAACAGCAUGAGAUAAAGCAUGAAGAGUCCACCUCCAAAUCCCACGGAAAGAAGAGCUCCCCUGGGAAAGCAGCUGUCCACACCCCAAAUUAAAGUGGCCAGCGCUCCCAGCAACAUGUCCCAUCACCCUGCAAGCCCCAGGUCUGCGAGCAGAAAGGCCAUUCGCUCUGUCAAUAAGGAUGUACUCACGGAUCCUGUUCUACUGUUGGCUGCAAAGGCUUUCUGCGUGCCAUGUACCAAUUUUUCAGAAUCACCACCCACCUCCUGGCCUGAACCAUGAGGCAGCUAGUUCUCAUCCCUGGGGGAGUCUUCAAGCAAUGAAUAGCACUACUCAGAGGGCCAAGGCACCCAAGCCCUAAGCCCAGGUCAGCCCACUCCUUAAGAUUUUGGAAAAAUCAGUUCUCUUGGGGUUUAUAUUCUUUCAUCUACAAACGGGGUCAAUAUCACAAAACUGUCCAACUACGUGUGCUACAAGCAGCUUCUACUUGGUCUAUCCAAAGAGUCACAGCACACUUAUUCUGAUUACUUGUUUUAUCUUUUGGCGAACAUGCCAUAAAUACCUGAAAAGCAGCAAGCAUUUCUUAUUUAUUGCGUGUUUAAUAAAUGAGCACAAAUAUAAGUGAUUAUUAAAUGAGGUAGGGAAACAGGAUCAGAGAACCUUCCGGCACAUGCCAGAACCAUAACUCAGCACAGAAUCCCGGCCACUGCGGUCCUCCCCAGAGGUCCCAGAGGCAGUCUGAGGAGGGUAAAAGGAUGAUCCUCGUUUGUAACUGAGAAGACUGGACAUGGAGCCCUGUGACUUGUGGUUCUGUAGAAAGACUGUCAUCCUGUCAGGAGCUCAGAGUCCCUUCCAAUAUUCCAGCAGAAACAUACCAGCAGAGGGAAAAGACAUUCCAUGGAAAAUAGCUGCCCACAGAUGGCCUGGGAACUCUGGAAACCAGGGAGUAAGCAGACUACAGAGAUAGGUAUGAAAACCAAGAACAAAGAGUCUGUGUCUACCCUCCAUUUUGCAAAAAUAGCACUUGGAGACCAGCUUCCAUAUUCACAAAAGGGACCCUCAUUCCUUAACAUAUGUGUGCCUCUCUUCCUCUUGACCACUGCGAACCACUGGCUCUGGGAUCUUGAGAGGAGAGAAGACCACUAAGCCCGAUGUCCCGCCUGAUUAUAAAUCCUGCCCCCCCCCCAUGGUGUCCAUGACAUCUCCAGUGAGGUGGCGACCAUCAUCUCUUACAGCUGCAAAUUCCAUCUUUCCAACAGAAAGUUCUUCCUUAUACGGAAACCAAGUCCGGCUCCUGGCUUUCCCGUGCCUCAUUCUGCCUCUUUGAACCAUAUGAACAACCGAUGUCUGUUCCAUUGGCUUGGAAUUUUUGUAGGUGAAUCCGGAUACAGAAACGAAGCUGCCCAAGAUCUCAACCCUGAGUCACUCCGGCCGUUUCCUGACCAUAUCACCCUGCUUGCUCCUAAUGUAUCUGGUGCCACCUUGAAAUCCAUCCUUUUCAGGCUUUUCCAGGAAGUACUAUUGCUAAGCAGUCCAUUCUGCACAUGGACCCCUGGCCUUGUGGACUCACAAGACGUGCCCUGUGAAAUCCCAGUCCCUGAGAAAUGAGAGGAGAGACAUCUUCGAGACCAUUUCUUCGGCCACAUUCCCACCCUUUGUGGACAGAGCUCAGGGCUGUGGAUCCCAUUCCCGGCUCCCCAUUCCUGGUCUCCUGUCCUGCCAGACCUAGCAUUGUCUCCAGGAUACAUGGCUGUUCCAAGGAACAUUAAGAGAGAGCUCUGCAGGAAAAGAGGGCCUUGCCAACUCAAACGCUCUCAGAAUAAUAACCAAGCAGCCUACAGGCAGGACAGCAGUGCCAGCUUGCUGAUCGCAGGGCUGGGAGCUCGUGAUCCCUGACUAACUACCCCGGCACCAUUCUGGACUUCAUUGUCUUUACAAAUCGGGGGAAAAAAUGUUCUUUUGUGCUGCAGUUCUGAUGGCACGGCUUGGAGUCAGGGCACAUGCAGCAAUGAUGCCUCACAUUAGCAACAUGCUUUACUAGUUGAUAAAUGCUUUCCCAGACAGUCUCAUUUAAUCCCUACUGGCAACUCCACUGGGAGUAUUGUACCCAAUUACGUGACAGGAAAACUGAGGCUCAGAGAGGUGAAGUAUAUUCCUAAAGUCACACCAACAGUAAGUAAUUAGAGGAAUGCUGGUUUAGAAGUUAGACGACUAACAGUUCCAACUCUGCUAAGUACUAACUGUAUGACCCCUGGCCAACUUUAACUUUCCUAAGCCUCAGUUUCUACACCUGAAAAUUAGAGAUUAAAAUGGCCCUUCUGCCUCCUCCCAGAGCAGUUACGAGGAUCAAAUGAGAUAAUGAGACUUAAAACCCUCUGGAAAACGGGAAGGCGUUCCAAAAGUGUAAGGGAUUAUUGUGUGAUUACUUGUAAAUGACUGUGCAUUCCAUUACAAAUACAAAAAAGCGGUGAGGUCAUCCUCGAGACAAAGAAACAUUAAGGCUCUGGGAACGAAAGGGAAAUGAUCUGAUGUUCUACAGGUUUCUGUCUGUGUGCUUCUCACUGGUAGCUGAACCUCAGCAUCAACUGUCAGAUUUUCAGCCGCCAAGUCGCAUGUGCCAACAGGACUCUCAAGACAGUGCUCCCUUUUCAGCUACAAGCAAAUGCCGGCCCGAAAGGAGGUAAUGGAGAGAGGGAUGUCUGGGAGACCCUCCGAGAGUCUCAGUUCCGGAAACAUGACCUACGACGUUCUCCUUGGAGAAGUUGUUAGAAAUACAGGCUCCAGUCCCUCUGCAAUAAGCCCACAGGGAAAUAAACGUACAGGAACGAGCUAUUUACCAGAGAGCACUGAGGAGGCUCCCAAGCAUGAAUUAAUCAAGGACACAGGGUAUUUCAAGCUUCAGACACCAAAAAGAUGGAAAUCAGCAAACCAUUAAACAUCCGAACACAUCUCACAGAGGCUCAACCUGGAAUGCAUGCAGCCCAGGCAACGGAGAGGUGUGCCUGCGUACCAGAGCUCCCGCUGCAGGUCUCGUGGGGGCGGAAGGGACCCGGGGAAGCUCGGAGAGCACAGCCACUGGUCUGGUGUCCUUCAGGCCCCUGCCAACACGCUGGUCAUCAGGAUGCUCCUCAGUGUCUGCAAAGGUCCAAGUCAUCAUCGUCGUGCAUGGGAAGGGCCAGAUCUGCCCCAGAAAUCCAUGCCCAAGGCUGGUGAGCACACAGCUCAGUGAUGAUUAUUUCCUGGUUUGCACCUUAUCAUCUCCUUCCUUGUGCUUCACAUUGGAGACAGGCACUAAAUAAAUUUAUCACAGAGGUGUGUGCAUACCUA